ACUACGAGGACGACGCUGGGCGGCGUGCUUAACACAUGCAAGUCGAGCGAUGAAGCUUCUUCGGAAGUGGAUUAGCGGCGGACGGGUGAGUAACACGUGGGUAACCUGCCUCAUAGAGGGGAAUAGCCUUUCGAAAGGAAGAUUAAUACCGCAUAAGAUUGUAGUACCGCAUGGUACAGCAAUUAAAGGAGUAAUCCGCUAUGAGAUGGACCCGCGUCGCAUUAGCUAGUUGGUGAGGUAACGGCUCACCAAGGCGACGAUGCGUAGCCGACCUGAGAGGGUGAUCGGCCACAUUGGGACUGAGACACGGCCCAGACUCCUACGGGAGGCAGCAGUGGGGAAUAUUGCACGAUGGGGGAAACCCUGAUGCAGCAACGCCGCGUGAGUGAUGACGGUCUUCGGAUUGUAAAGCUCUGUCUUUAGGGACGAUAAUGACGGUACCUAAGGAGGAAGCCACGGCUAACUACGUGCCAGCCGCUGC
Molecule: ribosomal RNA, 481 nt
Filed under: uncultured bacterium
Lineage: Bacteria
Description: bacterial SSU rRNA
Rfam family: Bacterial small subunit ribosomal RNA
Source: RNAcentral